This 1352-nucleotide ribosomal RNA is filed under the name uncultured bacterium. RNAcentral's name for it is "bacterial SSU rRNA". It matches the Rfam family "Bacterial small subunit ribosomal RNA", at positions 28 to 1381 of the family's 1533-position model. The record is from RNAcentral.
GAUGAACUCUAGCGGCAGGCCUAAUACAUGCAAGUCGAACGAUAUCAUCCAGCUUGCUGGAUGAGAAAGUGGCGCACGGGUGCGUAACGCGUAUGCAACCUACCUUUAUCUGGGGGAUAGCCCGGAGAAAUCCGGAUUAAUACCGCAUAAAAUCACAGGAUGGCAUUAUCCAAUGAUCAAACAUUUAUGGGAUGAAGAUGGGCAUGCGUGUCAUUAGCUAGUUGGCGGGGUAACGGCCCACCAAGGCGACGAUGACUAGGGGAUCUGAGAGGAUGGCCCCCCACACUGGUACUGAGACACGGACCAGACUCCUACGGGAGGCAGCAGUAAGGAAUAUUGGUCAAUGGAGGCAACUCUGAACCAGCCAUGCCGCGUGCAGGAAGACUGCCCUAUGGGUUGUAAACUGCUUUUAUCCGGGAAUAAACCACAUUACGUGUAAUGUGCUGAAUGUACCGGAAGAAUAAGGAUCGGCUAACUCCGUGCCAGCAGCCGCGGUAAUACGGAGGAUCCAAGCGUUAUCCGGAUUUAUUGGGUUUAAAGGGUGCGUAGGCGGCCUGUUAAGUCAGGGGUGAAAGACGGUAGCUCAACUAUCGCAGUGCCCUUGAUACUGAUGGGCUUGAAUGGACUAGAGGUAGGCGGAAUGAGACAAGUAGCGGUGAAAUGCAUAGAUAUGUCUCAGAACACCGAUUGCGAAGGCAGCUUACUAUGGUCUUAUUGACGCUGAGGCACGAAAGCGUGGGGAUCAAACAGGAUUAGAUACCCUGGUAGUCCACGCCCUAAACGAUGAACACUCGCUGUUGGCGAUACACAGUCAGCGGCUAAGCGAAAGCGUUAAGUGUUCCACCUGGGGAGUACGCCCGCAAGGGUGAAACUCAAAGGAAUUGACGGGGGCCCGCACAAGCGGAGGAGCAUGUGGUUUAAUUCGAUGAUACACGAGGAACCUUACCCGGGCUUGAAAGUUAGUGAAUUAUCCAGAGAUGGAUAAGUGAGCAAUCACACGAAACUAGGUGCUGCAUGGCUGUCGUCAGCUCGUGCCGUGAGGUGUUGGGUUAAGUCCCGCAACGAGCGCAACCCCUAUGUUUAGUUGCCAGCAUGUAAUGAUGGGGACUCCAAACAGACUGCCUGUGCAAACAGAGAGGAAGGAGGGGACGACGUCAAGUCAUCAUGGCCCUUACGUCCGGGGCUACACACGUGCUACAAUGGAUGGUACAGAGGGCAGCUACAUAGCAAUAUGAUGCGAAUCUCACAAAGCCAUUCACAGUUCGGAUUGGGGUCUGCAACUCGACCCCAUGAAGUUGGAUUCGCUAGUAAUCGCGUAUCAGCAAUGACGCGGUGAAUACGUUCCCGGGCCU